RNAcentral lists this ribosomal RNA (638 nucleotides) under Calonarius corrosus. Its description in RNAcentral is "eukaryotic LSU rRNA". It matches the Rfam family "Eukaryotic large subunit ribosomal RNA", at positions 1 to 624 of the family's 3401-position model. The record is from RNAcentral. Lineage: Eukaryota; Fungi; Basidiomycota; Agaricomycetes; Agaricales; Cortinariaceae.
UGACCUCAAAUCAGGUAGGACUACCCGCUGAACUUAAGCAUAUCAAUAAGCGGAGGAAAAGAAACUAACAAGGAUUCCCCUAGUAACUGCGAGUGAAGCGGGAAAAGCUCAAAUUUAAAAUCUGGCAGUCUUUGGCUGUCCGAGUUGUAAUCUAGAGAAGCAUUAUCCGCGCUGGACCGUGUACAAGUCUCCUGGAAUGGAGCGUCAUAGAGGGUGAGAAUCCCGUCUUUGACACGGACUGCCAGGGCUUUGUGAUGUGCUCUCAAAGAGUCGAGUUGUUUGGGAAUGCAGCUCAAAAUGGGUGGUAAAUUCCAUCUAAAGCUAAAUAUUGGCGAGAGACCGAUAGCGAACAAGUACCGUGAGGGAAAGAUGAAAAGAACUUUGGAAAGAGAGUUAAACAGUACGUGAAAUUGCUGAAAGGGAAACGCUUGAAGUCAGUCGCGUUGUCCGGAUCAAUCUUGCUUUUGCUUGGUGUACUUUCUGGUUAACGGGUCAGCAUCAAUUUUGACUAUCGGAAAAAGAUCAAGGGAAUGUGGCAUCUUCGGAUGUGUUAUAGCCCUUGGUUGCAUACAAUAGUUAGGAUUGAGGAACUCAGCACGCCGCAAGGCCGAGUUUUUAACUACGUACGUGCUUAGGAU